CAAGCUAGUGACUUAAACCAAACGUUUGGUGGGAGGCAACCCACUGGUGAGUGUAAAUAAUUCUUUUAGAUUUCGUUUUUGUGUUUCUUUUUACUUAUUUGCAGGAUAGAAAAAAAAAUCAAAAACCCCGAGUUACUCAACCAGAACAGUCUCCGAUUUUUCGAAGCAGCUGCUCUGCUAAGGUAAGUUCCUCGGGACCAAAAAAAAAAAAAAAAAUUUUUCAAAUUUUAGCUAUUUUUGUAACAAUUUUUUAAAUGAAAAAAAAAACCCUAGCAAGUGGGAAGUGGGCCACGAUGUGGGGGCCUAUAAAAGGGACCUUACCCCAUAUCUUCCCCAUUUCCCCCAAAACCGCCUCCUCCCUCUCCACU
Molecule: long non-coding RNA, 368 nt
Filed under: Brassica napus (rape)
Lineage: Eukaryota; Viridiplantae; Streptophyta; Magnoliopsida; Brassicales; Brassicaceae
Description: long non-coding RNA (BNAP_LNC022949)
Source: RNAcentral